RNAcentral lists this ribosomal RNA (17 nucleotides) under Hemiorchis rhodorrhachis. Its description in RNAcentral is "partial 26S ribosomal RNA". The record is from RNAcentral. Lineage: Eukaryota; Viridiplantae; Streptophyta; Magnoliopsida; Zingiberales; Zingiberaceae.
UUGGCCCCAAGUCAGGC